GAUGAACGCUAGCGAUAGGCCUAACACAUGCAAGUCGAGGGGCAUCACAUGAAGUAGCAAUACGGAUGGUGGCGACCGGCGCACGGGUGAGUAACACGUAUGCAACCUGCCUUCAACAAGGGGAUAACCCGUUGAAAGACGGACUAAUACCCUAUAACACAGGGGUCCCGCAUGGGAAUAUUUGUUAAAGGACAACCGGUUGAAGAUGGGCAUGCGUUCCAUUAGAUAGUUGGAGAGGUAACGGCUCCCCAAGUCAACGAUCAUUAGGGGUUCUGAGAGGAAGGUCCCCCACACUGGUACUGAGACACGGACCAGACUCCUACGGGAGGCAGCAGUGAGGAAUAUUGGUCAAUGGACGCAAGUCUGAACCAGCCACGUCGCGUGAAGGAAGACGGCCCUACGGGUUGUAAACUUCUUUUGCAAGGGAAUAAAGUGGGCCACGUGUGGCCUUUUGCAAGUACCUUGCGAAUAAGGAUCGGCUAACUCCGUGCCAGCAGCCGCGGUAAUUACGC
RNAcentral lists this ribosomal RNA (512 nucleotides) under uncultured bacterium. RNAcentral describes it as "bacterial SSU rRNA". It matches the Rfam family "Bacterial small subunit ribosomal RNA", at positions 28 to 528 of the family's 1533-position model. The record is from RNAcentral.